AAGUAAGGGCGUACAGUGGAUGCCUUGGCACUAAGAGCCGAUGAAGGACG
Molecule: ribosomal RNA, 50 nt
Filed under: Khafr(Iran) Almond witches'-broom phytoplasma
Lineage: Bacteria; Bacillati; Mycoplasmatota; Mollicutes; Acholeplasmatales; Acholeplasmataceae
Also listed under: 2 other names
Description: partial 23S ribosomal RNA
Source: RNAcentral